Brassica rapa (field mustard) is the source of this 287-nucleotide long non-coding RNA. RefSeq lists it as uncharacterized. NCBI's taxonomy places the organism in Eukaryota, Viridiplantae, Streptophyta, Magnoliopsida, Brassicales, Brassicaceae. The record is from RefSeq and is a predicted model, not a curated record.
UUUGGUUUCUUAGUUCUUGAGACCAUAAGUGGCAAAAAGAACAGCAGUCACUAUGAAAUGGAUGGUAGUGGCGGCAAAACAGAACAAGCAACGGAGAUGCUAGUGGACGGAUCUGGCUGAAAGCUCUCAGCUAAUGGGAUAUUCUCUGCUCUGACUCUGAAGAAAAAUCCAGGAGGUUGGGGCACAGGCAGUGUAAUUGAAGUAUUAGUGAGCAUCUGAAAUAUUGUGAACAUGCUUGGACGAUCUGUUGGAUUUUCUUGAACGCAUAAUAACCCAAUAUGGACGCA